This 307-nucleotide unclassified non-coding RNA is filed under the name Melaleuca thyoides. The record is from RNAcentral. Lineage: Eukaryota; Viridiplantae; Streptophyta; Magnoliopsida; Myrtales; Myrtaceae.
CAUUUUCGUUUUUUUUUCCUCCAAGUCGAUUCGACGAUAUAUUUUUCGCGUCGCGAUGCGUCAUAUCAGGAGGACGGCGGUGUCGGGCUCGGAACGAGCUUUCCGAAAUGUACUCACGGGCCUCGUGAGUCCAUCGGGAUCGAAAGUGAGGCACGUGAAGGCAAAGACGCGCGAUUUCCGUUUACUGAUGAAUUAUCUUUCUCGUAUUUUCGUCUUAUGUUAGUAAUAUCUUAACAAUUGCUCGGAAAUUAAGGGACGGGUCUUCAAAAGCCGGAAGUUCGAACGUUCCGGACUUUUAUCUCGAGAU